Bacillus glycinifermentans is the source of this 192-nucleotide non-coding RNA. Lineage: Bacteria; Bacillati; Bacillota; Bacilli; Caryophanales; Bacillaceae. The record is from Rfam.
AAUUUCAUACCGGGAGCACGGUAAUCUAGCGUGACGUUAGAUUUUAAAAGGGAAGAUUGGUGAAAAUCCAACGCGGUCCCGCCACUGUAAUUGAGAAGGUUAUUUCAGAGAAAACCCACUGUUUCGAUAUGGGAAGGGUGAAAUAACCGCUGAUUCAUGAGCCAGGAGACCUGCCUGUUCUGACACACCAUA